This 457-nucleotide ribosomal RNA is filed under the name uncultured bacterium. Its description in RNAcentral is "bacterial SSU rRNA". It matches the Rfam family "Bacterial small subunit ribosomal RNA", at positions 343 to 797 of the family's 1533-position model. The record is from RNAcentral.
UGGAGGCAGCAGUAAGGAAUUUUGGACAAUGGGGGCAACCCUAAUCCAGCAACGCCGCGUGAAGGAUGAAGGUCUUCGGAUUGUAAACUUCUUUUGUAGGGGACGAAAGGGCUGUUGAAGAAACAGUUUUGACGGUACUCUGCGAAUAAGCCACGGCUAACUUCGUGCCAGCAGCCGCGGUAAUACGAAGGUGGCAAGCGCUACUCGGAAUUACUAGGCGUAAAGCGCAGGUAGGUGGCGGGGUAAGUCUGUAAUGAAAUCUCCUGGCUUAACUGGGAGGGGUUUAUAGAUACUGCUCUGCUUGAGUGUGGGAGAGGGUGCUGGAAUUCCCAGUGUAGCGGUGAAAUGCGUAGAUAUCGGGAGGAACACCGAAGGCGAAAGCAGGCACCUGGCCCAAAACUGACACUGAGCUGCGAAAGCUAGGGGAGCAAACAGGAUUAGAUACCCGCGUAGUCCC